AGAGUCGGCCGGGCAGUCGCUGCCUCCCGGAAGCGGGAGGUGGAGGAAAGUCCGGGCUCCGGCGGAUCAGGUGCCAGGUAACGCCUGGGGGGCGUGAGCCCACGGAAAGUGCAACAGAGAGCAGACCGCCUAAGUCCUUCGCGGGACCGGCAAGGGUGAAACGGUGCGGUAAGAGCGCACCGCAUCGGUGGCAACACGCGAUGGCACGGCAAACCCCACCUGGAGCAAGGCCAAAUAGGGAAGCAGUCCGACCCUCACGGGUGCAGGGCAGCGUCGAUCCGCGCGCGCUUCCGGGUAGGCCGCUAGAGGUCCGUGGCGACACGGAUCCCAGAGGAAUGAUUGCCCUCGACAGAACCCGGCUUACAGGCCGACUCGUUCU
RNAcentral lists this RNase P RNA (379 nucleotides) under Pseudomonadota bacterium. RNAcentral describes it as "Proteobacteria bacterium (activated sludge metagenome) RNase P RNA component class A". It matches the Rfam family "Bacterial RNase P class A". From Rfam's summary of the family: Ribonuclease P (RNase P) is a ubiquitous endoribonuclease, found in archaea, bacteria and eukarya as well as chloroplasts and mitochondria. Its best characterised activity is the generation of mature 5'-ends of tRNAs by cleaving the 5'-leader elements of precursor-tRNAs. Cellular RNase Ps are ribonucleoproteins. The record is from RNAcentral. Lineage: Bacteria; Pseudomonadati; Pseudomonadota.